Molecule: long non-coding RNA, 4474 nt
Filed under: Homo sapiens (human)
Lineage: Eukaryota; Metazoa; Chordata; Mammalia; Primates; Hominidae
Description: non-protein coding lnc-C3orf58-2:1
Source: RNAcentral
CUUGAUAUUUAAAACAGUUAAGCAGAGUGUGAACAGCAAUCAUUAGGAAAAUGAUCCAUUGAAUUAAUUGCCAAGGGGGAAAGAGGGAGGUUGAAAAUGAUAUUGAUGGCAAAUGUCUAAGGCAGAAUGGGUAUUUUUAAUUCUGUUUUUCCUUUCCUAUUUCAUGGGUGGUGAGGUUAGUAACUGUGUUGUACAAAACAGUGCUACGAGGAAAUAAAAGCAAGACAGACAAGUUGAAUGUGAAGGUUUUAUAAGUAGGAUUAAGAAGUUUGGAGCUUGUUCUUUCAUAAUAGAGAGUCAUGAAGGGUUUUAAUAAGAGAGAUGACACAAUCUGAACUUUGGAAAUAAAGCUCAGGCAGAAGAGCAGAGGGCAGAAUGGACACAUGGCUGGAGGCUUUCCCAAUAAUUUCAGGAAGAGAUGAGUUGUACCAGGACAGGAAGAGGCCCGGAUUCAUGCUCCCAAACUCUUACAUGUUCACUGUCCUGGGUUCUAAUAGACCAAUGACCACUGUGCUUUGUACUUCACAAAUAUACCUCACUGGUUUUCAUCUUCUCUGUGUGCCACAAGCCCUUAGCACAGUGAUGCGACAUAGUAAGCCUUUAAUGAGUGAACGAAUAAGAGAGAACAUCAAGGAAGAUAUAGCAGAGGUGACAGCACCCCAGAGAUAUUUGAGAUGGAAAAUUGGUGGGUGUUGGUGCUUGAGAGGCAGCAAGGAAUGACUCUGGAUUUUGAUCUAUUGUACAACAUGUGACUAUAUUUAGUAGCAAUGUAUUGUACACUUGAAAAUUGCUGAGAGAGCAGAUUUUAAGUGUUCUAAGCACAAUGACAAAAGCAUGCGAGGUAAUACAUAUAUUAAUAAGCCUGAUUUAGCUAUUCUGCAAGAUAUGCAUAUUUCAAAAAAUUAUGCUGUGUACAUAAUAUAUACAGUUCUUGUCAAUUAAAAAGUGUUUUUAAAGAAGUUACUGCAAAAUCCAAAAAAAGAAAGAAAAUGCCAUAUGAAUUGACAUGACAAUUGGCCAGAUCCCAUUUUAUCAGGCAUAGAAUCAAUUUUAUUAUUCUAGCUGAAUAGGUCCUAUUAAUCAUGAUAGGUAAAAUGGCAGAGAUCUGCUUUUUACUAGCAUGCAGCUGUUAACAUUUGCCACAACUUUUAGACGUUGCAGUUGGUGGGAGGGAACAAGCAAACACUUCUGCUAAGUAAUCUCUUUCUCCUUUUUGGAUAGAGUUAAGACACUGCAUCUACCCAAAACAAAAAAGUUACAAUGGGGUUUGGUUAGCAACAUUUUCCUUUGGCUAGGAUCUUGUGGAAUAAAAGUAACAUUUUUUUUUAACUAGAACAUUCUAUCAUGGCCUCUCUAUUGUUAACUUUAGACUCUGUAGCUGUUCAUUUGUAUCAUCAAGCUCUGAAGAUGACUUGCAGCCCAUCUCCACUUCCAUGGAGGUUUCCUAGGCCCAGGAAAAGGAAGGUAAGGCCCUUACCCCACCUCCCCACUUAUGGAGCCCCUCUGCCCUAUGGGGAAGACUCUACACCUGUCUAACGAAAGCUUUGAGCUUUUAAGAGGAAAGGCUUUUAAUUGAAUAUCCAGUUUUGUUCAUAACUGCUCUGACAUUCCCACAAUUCCUUUUGAACAAAGAACUGAACUCUGUUUCAUAAACGAUGUCCCACACAAAAGAGAAAACUGUUACUUUGCACAUUCUUGUCUACCCUGUGAAGAAAUGGAAUAGUUUUGAAAUAAAGCUAGACAGUGUGUCCUACAAGAGGGAGUAUUUUGCUGGGAACACAAAUGAGUCAAAUAGGUGAGUCAGGAAAUUAGCCACCCACUCUGCUGCUGAGCUUGGAGCUUUUAAAAAACUCAUUUAAUUAGCUCCCUGGCAGGGCUCAAUCUUACACGCAAUGUCCAAGACUCUCUGCAGCACCUCCGCAGGAGAGAAUCUUUGGGACAGCUGUGGACAUGCACAUACCAGCUCUGCCCACACCUUGCAAGGCUGGUAAAGAUAACCUAGGUCCAAGGCAGGACUAAAAGUCAAUGCCCAUGUAAAUGAGAGUUCUUGGGACCACAAGAGGAAAACACUCUGGACAUCGUGUGGAUAGGAAGGGGAAAAGAUGCAAUCCGAUUUCUUAAACCUUUGAUUUUAUCAGACAAUUUGGUCAUUUUGUCUUUAACUUACUUUAGUUCCACUCAUCUUUUAGUGGCAGAUUUUCAUGCUUCACUUGUGGCUUGGAGUUCCUUCUCCUCUACAUACCCUCUUCUUACAUGAUGUUGUAGCUAGAGAAAAAUUCACUUUGUCUUUCAAAUUGAUAAUAAAAGAUACAAGCACAUAUGAUCUUAUGCUCAAGGAGAUGAACAUGCACAUGUACACACACACACACACACACACACACACACAAACACACCCCUACCUCUAGGUAAGCAUAAUAGAGGAAUGUGAUAACUGAGAAAUGCCACUGAAUCCUUGCAGAUCUCUGAGAAAAUAAUUUCAGCCAUCAAAUGGUAAGGGUCUUUGAGCGGAAUGAGUGAGGAGCCAGUGGUGUGGACUGCACUCUGAGAAGCUUUUGAUAAAGGAUGAAGAGAGAAAAAGCCAUAACUUAUGAGGUCUAAGUGAGGCUUUCUCUUAGACAUCUAAUUUAUAGGUUGACAAGAAUAAGCCAGAGGAAAGAGAGGCUGAAGACAGAGAGAAAGGAUGAGAAAACUGCUGGAGCAAGGUCUGGAGAAGGCAGAAGAAAACUGAAGGGCAGAAGGGGAAUGUGUCUUUUCAGGAAAGUAAGAUCAUCUGCUGAGAGUCAGGAGAGAAACACAUGAGUUAGAGGCUACAGGAAGGUUGAAAAUGUGCAGAAUAUCUUGGAGGCAGGUAAUGCAAGUUUCAUGAAAAACUGUUAGGGUCAAACAUAGGAUAAUUCUCAGUCUGUAAGAGAAAAACUGUAACACUAAAAUGAUAUAAUAUUUUGAUUUUUUCAUCAUACCAAGGGUCUUUUCCCCUACAACUCUAUUAUAGCAUCAAAACUAAUCCUUUUUCAUCUCAAAGAUGAUAACCACACCUAGUGAUAAAAAUACAGAUCAUGACUACAUGACUCCAUGAGUAUCUCAAUGUGUUUACUCUUAGAUGUUUGACAAUUUUUUUUAAACUGCUGUCUUUUCAGCUGACCACUUUCUUGAUGCCCUUUCAGAACUUCCAAGUCUUUAGGGUGAUUUAGUGACAGCCCCUUCCCUAGAAUCUCCAUUAGCAGCUCUAUGACCCCUAUUUUCUAAGUGUUUUACAAGGAAUUUAAAUUUCAAAUGAUAUUUUAAUGUGGCAGCUCUCAGCAACCUAGCACAAGAUCUGCCUAGGUCGAAGGACAACAACAUACAAUAGUUCCUACCCCUGUCCUCCUACGUUGUCAUUCAGCCUUGUCAAAAUGCUGGCUCUCCCUUGGAGAGUGCUCUCUAUGGUUUUCUGUGCAAAUCACUAUGUAUGACACUUGUCCAUGACACACAGAGAAUCAAAAACAUCUGAAGAUUUUGCAGCUGAAUCGGUGUCAGGCCUGACAGGUGUAGAACCUUGGUAUUCUCAUAAACGAGGUAGCAUUUUUCCAUUUCCAAAAAAUGAUUAUUGUGAAAAUGUAUUUUCUUUUUCUAAGAAGGAGGAUGGAGGAGGAAAUUCUCCUGUAACUUUUCCCACUUUCCUGAAAAAUUGUAUACGGUGAGAUCUGAAGGAGAGGCUUUCAAAAAAGUUGUGGUAUCUGGGUGCAGGCUGAAAUAUGGGAAUUAUUUUGAGAAUUAUUAAAUUCUCAGUGAAGACUUAGCAGCAAAAUUGAUGCAUGGAUUGAUUUUGCCAGUCAAGCUCUGCCAGUCAUAAUCCUAGAAUACAAGUGAAAAGACUAACCCUUCUGAGUUACAUGAGAGAAACAAUGCCAGAUCUACAAAGCUAAUGACUAGUCAUUCAAUUUGUUUAGGUCAUUCUAAAUUUUAAGUUACACAAAACAUCAUGAGGAAUUUAGCCCUAAAACUUUGCAAUUUUAUUUUAACCAUCAAUAUGCUAUAUCAUUUUGGUACUGAGGUAAUAGUGGAGAAUAUAUGAUAUGCAUGCACACACUUGUAGCCUUCCUCAAACAGGGUUCCUUGGGGAAAACAAGCUCUUAUGCCCCAGAGCAAUGUCUUCAAAGUGUGGCCCAGGGACCCCUGGAGGUUCCUGGGAACUAUCCAGGAAGAUCCUCAAGGUCAAAACUAUUUUCACAAUAACAUGAAAUAUGUUACUUGCAUUUUUUAUUCUAAUUCUUUCAUUAGUGUACAGUGGAAUUUUCCAGAGGCUACAUGAUGCAACAGAUUGAAUGCAGAAGCAAGAUAUGAGAAUCCAGCUGUCUUCAUUUGCACUACAUGUUAAAGAGCUUUGCAGAAAUGUGAAACAAUGCCACUUUUCUAAUUUUUUUGUUUUGGAAAAUAAACUUUUGGUAAAAAUAUGUUAUUUAUAUUAACAUGUAAAUGUUUUAUGAUUGUUAUU